UACGUAGGGGGCGAGCGUUGUCCGGAUUUACUGGGCGUAAAGAGCGCGUAGGCGGACAUUUAAGCGUGGCCUGAAAGCCCCCGGCUCAACCGGGGAGUGCGGCUGCGAACUGGGUUUCUUAAGGACGAUAGAGGAGAGUGGAAUUCCUGGUGUAGCGGUGAAAUGCGUAGAUAUCAGGAGGAACACCCGAGGCGAAGGCGGCUCUCUGGGUCGUACCUGACGCUGAGGCGCGAAAGCGUGGGGAGCGAACGGG
This 253-nucleotide ribosomal RNA is filed under the name uncultured bacterium. RNAcentral's name for it is "partial 16S ribosomal RNA". It matches the Rfam family "Bacterial small subunit ribosomal RNA", at positions 524 to 776 of the family's 1533-position model. The record is from RNAcentral.